CAAUAGCGUAUAUUAAAGUUGUUGCGGUUAAAAGCUCGUAGUUGGAUUUCUGCCGAGGACGUCCGGUCCGCCCUCUGGGUGAGUACAUGGCACGGCCUGGGCAUCUUCUUGGGGAACGUAUCUGCACUUGACUGUGUGGUGCGGUAUCCAGGACUUUUACUUUGAGGAAAUUAGAGUGUUUCAAGCAGGCACACGCCUUGAAUACAUUAGCAUGGAAUAAUAAUAUAGGGCGUAAGUCUUAUUUUGUUGGUUUCUAGGACAUACGCAAUGAUUAAUAGGGACAAUUGGGGGCAUUCGUAUUAACGCGUCAGAGGUGGAAUUCUUAGAUUGCGUUACGACGAACUACUGCGAAAGCAUUUGCCAAGGAUGUUUUCAUUGAUCAAGAACGAAAGUAUGGGGAUCGAAGACGAUUAGAUACCGU
Molecule: ribosomal RNA, 421 nt
Filed under: uncultured eukaryote
Lineage: Eukaryota
Description: SSU rRNA
Rfam family: Eukaryotic small subunit ribosomal RNA
Source: RNAcentral